RNAcentral lists this ribosomal RNA (253 nucleotides) under uncultured bacterium. RNAcentral describes it as "partial 16S ribosomal RNA". It matches the Rfam family "Bacterial small subunit ribosomal RNA", at positions 524 to 776 of the family's 1533-position model. The record is from RNAcentral.
GACAGAGGGUGCAAACGUUGUUCGGAUUUACUGGGCGUAAAGCGCGUGUAGGCGGCUUGGCAAGUUGAAUGUGAAGGCCCACGGCUCAACCGUGGAAUCGCAUCCAAAACUGCUUCGCUUGAGUCUCGGAGAGGAAGGUGGAAUGCUUGGUGUAGAGGUGAAAUUCGUAGAUAUCAAGCAGAACACCUGCGGCGAAGGCGGCCUUCUGGACGAUGACUGACGCUGAGACGCGAAAGCGUGGGGAGCAAACAGG